This 22-nucleotide microRNA is filed under the name Melibe leonina. RNAcentral describes it as "mle-miR-2j-3p". Its record names the gene mle-miR-2j-3p. The record is from miRBase by way of RNAcentral. Lineage: Eukaryota; Metazoa; Mollusca; Gastropoda; Nudibranchia; Dendronotidae.
UAUCACAGUCUUGAGAUGGGCG